GAUAUCGACAGGCGUGAACAAUGUUGUGCGGCCAACUAUGAACAAGUUGUCAACCAUGUUGUUCCAAGUUGUUACAGUUGAACAAUGCUGUAACAACAUGUUGACAAUACUGUUCAUAGUGGGCCGCACAACAUUGUUCACGCCUGUUGAUAUC
Molecule: non-coding RNA, 154 nt
Organism: Paramuricea clavata
Lineage: Eukaryota; Metazoa; Cnidaria; Anthozoa; Malacalcyonacea; Plexauridae
Source: the annotation of a GenBank genome assembly